GAUGAACGCUGGCGGCGUGCUUAACACAUGCAAGUCGAACGGAAAGGCCCAAGCUUGCUUGGGUACUCGAGUGGCGAACGGGUGAGUAACACGUGGGUGAUCUGCCCUGCACUUCGGGAUAAGCCUGGGAAACUGGGUCUAAUACCGGAUAGGACGAUGGUUUGGAUGCCAUUGUGGAAAGUUUUUUCGGUGUGGGAUGAGCUCGCGGCCUAUCAGCUUGUUGGUGGGGUAAUGGCCUACCAAGGCGUCGACGGGUAGCCGGCCUGAGAGGGUGUACGGCCACAUUGGGACUGAGAUACGGCCCAGACUCCUACGGGAGGCAGCAGUGGGGAAUAUUGCACAAUGGGCGCAAGCCUGAUGCAGCGACGCCGCGUGGGGGAUGACGGCCUUCGGGUUGUAAACUCCUUUCGCUAGGGACGAAGCGUUUUUGUGACGGUACCCGGAGAAGGAGCACCGGCUAACUACGUG
This 468-nucleotide ribosomal RNA is filed under the name uncultured bacterium. RNAcentral describes it as "partial 16S ribosomal RNA". It matches the Rfam family "Bacterial small subunit ribosomal RNA", at positions 28 to 507 of the family's 1533-position model. The record is from RNAcentral.